RNAcentral lists this ribosomal RNA (1528 nucleotides) under Klebsiella pneumoniae. RNAcentral's name for it is "bacterial SSU rRNA". It matches the Rfam family "Bacterial small subunit ribosomal RNA". Lineage: Bacteria; Pseudomonadati; Pseudomonadota; Gammaproteobacteria; Enterobacterales; Enterobacteriaceae. The record is from RNAcentral.
AGAGUUUGAUCAUGGCUCAGAUUGAACGCUGGCGGCAGGCCUAACACAUGCAAGUCGAGCGGUAGCACAGAGAGCUUGCUCUCGGGUGACGAGCGGCGGACGGGUGAGUAAUGUCUGGGAAACUGCCUGAUGGAGGGGGAUAACUACUGGAAACGGUAGCUAAUACCGCAUAAUGUCGCAAGACCAAAGUGGGGGACCUUCGGGCCUCAUGCCAUCAGAUGUGCCCAGAUGGGAUUAGCUAGUAGGUGGGGUAACGGCUCACCUAGGCGACGAUCCCUAGCUGGUCUGAGAGGAUGACCAGCCACACUGGAACUGAGACACGGUCCAGACUCCUACGGGAGGCAGCAGUGGGGAAUAUUGCACAAUGGGCGCAAGCCUGAUGCAGCCAUGCCGCGUGUGUGAAGAAGGCCUUCGGGUUGUAAAGCACUUUCAGCGGGGAGGAAGGCGAUAAGGUUAAUAACCUUGGCGAUUGACGUUACCCGCAGAAGAAGCACCGGCUAACUCCGUGCCAGCAGCCGCGGUAAUACGGAGGGUGCAAGCGUUAAUCGGAAUUACUGGGCGUAAAGCGCACGCAGGCGGUCUGUCAAGUCGGAUGUGAAAUCCCCGGGCUCAACCUGGGAACUGCAUUCGAAACUGGCAGGCUAGAGUCUUGUAGAGGGGGGUAGAAUUCCAGGUGUAGCGGUGAAAUGCGUAGAGAUCUGGAGGAAUACCGGUGGCGAAGGCGGCCCCCUGGACAAAGACUGACGCUCAGGUGCGAAAGCGUGGGGAGCAAACAGGAUUAGAUACCCUGGUAGUCCACGCCGUAAACGAUGUCGAUUUGGAGGUUGUGCCCUUGAGGCGUGGCUUCCGGAGCUAACGCGUUAAAUCGACCGCCUGGGGAGUACGGCCGCAAGGUUAAAACUCAAAUGAAUUGACGGGGGCCCGCACAAGCGGUGGAGCAUGUGGUUUAAUUCGAUGCAACGCGAAGAACCUUACCUGGUCUUGACAUCCACAGAACUUAGCAGAGAUGCUUUGGUGCCUUCGGGAACUGUGAGACAGGUGCUGCAUGGCUGUCGUCAGCUCGUGUUGUGAAAUGUUGGGUUAAGUCCCGCAACGAGCGCAACCCUUAUCCUUUGUUGCCAGCGGUCCGGCCGGGAACUCAAAGGAGACUGCCAGUGAUAAACUGGAGGAAGGUGGGGAUGACGUCAAGUCAUCAUGGCCCUUACGACCAGGGCUACACACGUGCUACAAUGGCAUAUACAAAGAGAAGCGACCUCGCGAGAGCAAGCGGACCUCAUAAAGUAUGUCGUAGUCCGGAUUGGAGUCUGCAACUCGACUCCAUGAAGUCGGAAUCGCUAGUAAUCGUAGAUCAGAAUGCUACGGUGAAUACGUUCCCGGGCCUUGUACACACCGCCCGUCACACCAUGGGAGUGGGUUGCAAAAGAAGUAGGUAGCUUAACCUUCGGGAGGGCGCUUACCACUUUGUGAUUCAUGACUGGGGUGAAGUCGUAACAAGGUAACCGUAGGGGAACCUGCGGUUGGAUCACCU